CUCCCUCAUCCAUCCUUCAUUCAUUAUGCACCCAGUGCUGGGUGCUUGGUACACGGGGGUGAAUCACACCCCGUUCCUGCCUUCGGGGAGUUCAGGGGAUGGUGGGAGGACACGGACCUAGACUCCGACAGUGACAGCUCUGAGUAAAGAAGUCGCCGAAGCAGUGGGACACUAGAGGCGGGGAAGGCUUCCUGGAGGAAGUGAGGCCUAAACUGAGCCUUGAAGAAUGGUUAAGAGUUUGCUCCAGGAAUAUAUUGCAAAGGCAUUCUUGGCGGAAGGACCCGAGACGUGAAAAAAACAAGCGUAUUCUGGUAAUUUCGAGGAGGCACCCACUACCUGCGGGGCGUGAACAACGCGCGCCAGCCGUGGCACAACGCGGAGGGCCGGCUGCGGUACGGGCUGCGGCCGGCGAACCCCACGGAGGAGGGCCUGGCCAGCCUGCACAGCGUGCUGUUCCGCAAGCAGCCGUUCCUGUGGCGCGCUGCGCUGCUCUACUACACCAUCCACCGCGCCGCGCGCAUGUCCUUCCGUCAGCUCUUCCAGGACCUGGCGCGCUACGUGCAGGACGCCGACGUGCGCUGGGAGUACUGCGUGCGCGCCAAGCGCGGCCAGACGGACACCUCGCUGCCAGGUGUCCUAUGAGGAUGUGGACCACCUGCGGCCCCAUGGGGUGCUGGAUAAUACCCGGGUGCCCCACUUCAUGCAGGACUUGGCACGCUACCGGCAGCAGCUGGAGCACAUCAUGGCCACCAACCGGCUGGACGAGGCGGAGCUGGGUCGCCUGCUACCCGACUGAUGUCCAUUGAGGGCUGCAGACAGAGGCCCUGGACAGAAGC
Molecule: small RNA, 836 nt
Filed under: Pongo abelii (Sumatran orangutan)
Lineage: Eukaryota; Metazoa; Chordata; Mammalia; Primates; Hominidae
Description: processed transcript
Source: RNAcentral